RNAcentral lists this ribosomal RNA (465 nucleotides) under uncultured bacterium. Its description in RNAcentral is "partial 16S ribosomal RNA". It matches the Rfam family "Bacterial small subunit ribosomal RNA", at positions 338 to 795 of the family's 1533-position model. The record is from RNAcentral.
CCUACGAGGUGCAGCAGUGGGGAAUAUUGCGCAAUGGGCGAAAGCCUGACGCAGCGACGCCGCGUGAGGGAUGAAGGUCUUCGGAUCGUAAACCUCUGUCAGCAGGGAAGAACGGUCACUGUGCUAAUCAGCAGUGCAUUGACGGUACCUGCAAAAGCAGCACCGGCUAACUCCGUGCCAGCAGCCGCGGUAAUACGGAGGGUGCGAGCGUUAAUCGGAAUUACUGGGCGUAAAGCGCUCGUAGGCGGUAUGUCAAGUCAAGGGUGAAAUCCCCGGGCUCAACGUGGGAACUGCCUUGGAAACUGGCAAACUGGAGUGUGUGAGAGGAUAGUGGAAUUCCAGGUGUAGGAGUGAAAUGCGUAGAGAUCUGGAGGAACACCGGUGGCGAAGGCGACUAGCUGGAACAUAACUGACGCUGAGGAGCGAAAGCGUGGGUAGCAAACAGGAUUAGAUACCCCUGUAGUC